UUUGAGGUGGUCGAAGAUAGUCGUUAGAUUGUAAAUCUAUGAAUAAGUAAAAAUUACUUUCUCAAAA
RNAcentral lists this transfer RNA (67 nucleotides) under Cirroctopus glacialis. RNAcentral describes it as "tRNA-Tyr". The record is from RNAcentral. Lineage: Eukaryota; Metazoa; Mollusca; Cephalopoda; Octopoda; Opisthoteuthidae.